RNAcentral lists this ribosomal RNA (252 nucleotides) under uncultured prokaryote. Its description in RNAcentral is "partial 16S ribosomal RNA". It matches the Rfam family "Bacterial small subunit ribosomal RNA", at positions 523 to 774 of the family's 1533-position model. The record is from RNAcentral.
AGACAGAGGGUGCAAACGUUGUUCGGAAUUACUGGGCGUAAAGCGCGUGUAGGCGGCCCUGCAAGUCGGAUGUGAAAUCCCACGGCUCAACCGUGGAAGUGCAUUCGAAACUGCAGGGCUAGAGUCCUGGAGAGGAAGGUGGGAUGCUUGGUGUAGAGGUGAAAUUCGUAGAUAUCAAGCGGAACACCGGUGGCGAAGGCGGCCUUCUGGACAGUGACUGACGCUGAGACGCGAAAGCGUGGGGAGCAAACA